RNAcentral lists this signal recognition particle RNA (263 nucleotides) under human gut metagenome. RNAcentral describes it as "Bacterial large signal recognition particle RNA". It matches the Rfam family "Bacterial large signal recognition particle RNA". Rfam says of the family: The signal recognition particle (SRP) is a universally conserved ribonucleoprotein involved in the co-translational targeting of proteins to membranes. Archaeal SRP consists of a 7S RNA and homologues of the eukaryotic SRP19 and SRP54 proteins. The record is from RNAcentral.
CGCACUAGUCGGGGAGUCAGCGGUGCCUUGUAACCUGCAAUCCGCUACAGCAGGGAUGAAUUCCCACCCGAGGAACGAACUGUGUUGUCUGACCCUUAUAAGCGGCGAUGAGGAAUCGGUCCCGCGCAACGAAAUCCCAUGAACCAUGUCAGGCGGGGAACCGAGCAGCAUUAAGUGGACCUUUUCGUGUGCCGCGGGUGCGCCGCUUCCGAGCUGGCUGUAUGGGUUCCGGGCAUAGUCUCGUAUUCGAUGGUGGGUGUGCG